This 705-nucleotide ribosomal RNA is filed under the name uncultured Bacteroidales bacterium. RNAcentral describes it as "bacterial SSU rRNA". It matches the Rfam family "Bacterial small subunit ribosomal RNA", at positions 62 to 756 of the family's 1533-position model. Lineage: Bacteria; Pseudomonadati; Bacteroidota; Bacteroidia; Bacteroidales. The record is from RNAcentral.
UCGAGGGGCAGCAUGGUCUUAGCUUGCUAAGGCCGAUGGCGACCGGCGCACGGGUGAGUAACACGUAUCCAACCUGCCGUCUACUCUUGGACAGCCUUCUGAAAGGAAGAUUAAUACAAGAUGGCAUCAUGAGUCCGCAUGUUCACAUGAUUAAAGGUAUUCCGGUAGACGAUGGGGAUGCGUUCCAUUAGAUAGUAGGCGGGGUAACGGCCCACCUAGUCUUCGAUGGAUAGGGGUUCUGAGAGGAAGGUCCCCCACAUUGGAACUGAGACACGGUCCAAACUCCUACGGGAGGCAGCAGUGAGGAAUAUUGGUCAAUGGGCGAGAGCCUGAACCAGCCAAGUAGCGUGAAGGAUGACUGCCCUAUGGGUUGUAAACUUCUUUUAUAAAGGAAUAAAGUCGGGUAUGGAUACCCGUUUGCAUGUACUUUAUGAAUAAGGAUCGGCUAACUCCGUGCCAGCAGCCGCGGUAAUACGGAGGAUCCGAGCGUUAUCCGGAUUUAUUGGGUUUAAAGGGAGCGUAGAUGGAUGUUUAAGUCAGUUGUGAAAGUUUGCGGCUCAACCGUAAAAUUGCAGUUGAUACUGGAUGUCUUGAGUGCAGUUGAGGCAGGCGGAAUUCGUGGUGUAGCGGUGAAAUGCUUAGAUAUCACGAAGAACUCCGAUUGCGAAGGCAGCCUGCUAAGCUGCAACUGACAUUGAGGCUCGA